RNAcentral lists this long non-coding RNA (1119 nucleotides) under Oryza sativa (Asian cultivated rice). RNAcentral's name for it is "long non-coding RNA (OSAT_LNC001762)". Lineage: Eukaryota; Viridiplantae; Streptophyta; Magnoliopsida; Poales; Poaceae. The record is from RNAcentral.
ACAACUUGUAUAGGGUGUACAAAUGUACAAAGCUGGGCUUGUUUCAGUGGGCAGGCUUCUACAUAUUUACAGUUACUAGCUCACUAUGGACCGUAUGAAUCAUUCCAUAUCCUAAUAUUGUCAAAACAAAUAGUUGUGUUUUGUGAGCACGUCCUUCACACUUCUUUUCAAGGAUUCAAUGCAAAACUAACUCACUGAUACCUAUAUGCUUAAUAAUAUAUCCUGAAGCAGGUUGAAUGGUUCAGGAAAAGCCCAUCCAUAAAGUUUCAGGAGCCUUGUUCUAUUUGUAUUCCCAUAUCAUAGUGCUCUACAUAAGAUAUUUCGAUGCUAAGAGAUACGCUUUUGUCCAUCAGUCACGAAGCUCUAAGUUUUGAGCUGUUUAUGGACACUUCCACCAGCAACAUGACUUAAUUGUGGCCAAACAAUUUUUUAAAAAAAAUGGUGAUGUUUUAUCGACAUUCCCACCACACCAGGGAAGUUUUUGCUGAAAGAAGUGUCAAGGCUGCUGGAAAAGUAUCAGUGACAUAACUAUCAGAGAAUAGGUCUAAAGAGAGGGGAGAAACAUAAGAGGUUUCAUCAUUAGCUUUUGCUACAACCAACAAAUGAACCUACCACUCAAUCCCAAUAGUAACGGGCAAAGUUGGGUAUGUUAGGUGGUAGGGCAGUUUCAUGCAUACCGUAAAUUUGAAAAAUACAAGAAAGAUGUCUUAUCGACAUUCCCACCACACCAGGGAAGUUUUUGCUGAAAGAAGUGUCAAGGCUUCUGCAAAAGUGUCAGUGACACAACUAUCAGAGAAGAGGUCUCAAGAGAGGGGAGAAACACAAGAGGUUUCAUCAUUAGCUUUUGCUACAACCAACAAAUGAACCUACCACUCAAUCCCAAUAGUAACGGACAAGGUUGUGUAUGUUAGGUGGUAGGGCAGUUUCAUGCAUACCGUGAAUUUGAAAAAUUCAAGAAAAAAAUGAUGUCUUAUCAGCAUUCCCACCACACCAGGGAAGUUUUUGUUGAAAGAAGUGUCAAGGCUGCUGGAAAAGUGUUGGUGACACAACUAUGGAAAAGUGUCAGUGACACAACUAUCAGAGAAGAGGUCUAAAGAGAGGGGAGAAACAUAAGAGGUU